This 600-nucleotide ribosomal RNA is filed under the name Streptomyces novaecaesareae. RNAcentral describes it as "bacterial SSU rRNA". It matches the Rfam family "Bacterial small subunit ribosomal RNA", at positions 127 to 739 of the family's 1533-position model. The record is from RNAcentral. Lineage: Bacteria; Bacillati; Actinomycetota; Actinomycetes; Kitasatosporales; Streptomycetaceae.
UGUCCUUUGGUCUGGGACAAGCCCUGGAAACGGGGUCUAAUACCGGAUAACACUUCCACUCUCCUGAGUGGUGGUUAAAAGCUCCGGCGGUGAAGGAUGAGCCCGCGGCCUAUCAGCUUGUUGGUGAGGUAAUGGCUCACCAAGGCGACGACGGGUAGCCGGCCUGAGAGGGCGACCGGCCACACUGGGACUGAGACACGGCCCAGACUCCUACGGGAGGCAGCAGUGGGGAAUAUUGCACAAUGGGCGAAAGCCUGAUGCAGCGACGCCGCGUGAGGGAUGACGGCCUUCGGGUUGUAAACCUCUUUCAGCAGGGAAGAAGCGAAAGUGACGGUACCUGCAGAAGAAGCGCCGGCUAACUACGUGCCAGCAGCCGCGGUAAUACGUAGGGCGCAAGCGUUGUCCGGAAUUAUUGGGCGUAAAGAGCUCGUAGGCGGCUUGUCACGUCGGGUGUGAGAGCCCGGGGCUUAACCCCGGGUCUGCAUUCGAUACGGGCUAGCUAGAGUGUGGUAGGGGGAGAUCGGAAUUCCUGGUGUAGCGGUGAAAUGCGCAGAUAUCAGAGGAACACCGGUGGCGAAAGGCGGGAUCUCUGGGCCAUUA